GACAGAGGGUGCAAACGGUGUUCGGAAUUACUGGGCGUAAAGCGAGUGUAGGCGGUCUGAAAAGUCGGGUGUGAAAGCCCCGGGCUCAACCCGGGAAGUGCACUCGAAACUGCCAGGCUAGAGUAUCGGAGAGGUUGGUGGAAUUCUCGGUGUAGAGGUGAAAUUCGUAGAUAUCGAGAGGAACACCGGUGGCGAAGGCGGCCAACUGGACGAAUACUGACGCUGAGACUCGAAAGCGUGGGGAGCAAACAGG
RNAcentral lists this ribosomal RNA (253 nucleotides) under uncultured bacterium. RNAcentral describes it as "partial 16S ribosomal RNA". It matches the Rfam family "Bacterial small subunit ribosomal RNA", at positions 524 to 776 of the family's 1533-position model. The record is from RNAcentral.